Molecule: ribosomal RNA, 276 nt
Filed under: uncultured bacterium
Lineage: Bacteria
Description: partial 16S ribosomal RNA
Rfam family: Bacterial small subunit ribosomal RNA
Source: RNAcentral
AACGAACGCUGGCGGCAGGCCUGACACAUGCAAGUCAAGCGCACCUUCGGGUGAGCGGCGGACGGGUUAGUAACGCGUGGGAAUAUACCCUUCUCUAAGGAAUAGCCUCUGGAAACGGAGAGUAAUACCUUAUACGCCCUUCGGGGGAAAGAUUUAUCGGAGAAGGAUUAGCCCUCGUAAGAUUAGAUAGUUGGUGGGGUAAUGGCCUACCAAGUCUACGAUCUUUAGCUGGUUUGAGAGGAUGAUCAGCAACACUGGGACUGAGACACGGCCCAG